Molecule: ribosomal RNA, 599 nt
Filed under: Limnebius zaerensis
Lineage: Eukaryota; Metazoa; Arthropoda; Insecta; Coleoptera; Hydraenidae
Also listed under: 21 other names
Description: SSU rRNA
Rfam family: Eukaryotic small subunit ribosomal RNA
Source: RNAcentral
AGUCAUAUGCUUGUCUCAAAGAUUAAGCCAUGCAUGUCUCAGUACAAGCCAAAUUAAGGUGAAACCGCGAAAGGCUCAUUAAAUCAGUUAUGGUUCCUUAGAUCGUACCCACACUUACUUGGAUAACUGUGGUAAUUCUAGAGCUAAUACAUGCAAAUAGAGCCCCGACCGGAGACGGAAGGGGCGCUUUUAUUAGAUCAAAACCAAUCGGUGGCGGUUCGCCGUCACCGUACUCCUUGGUGACUCUGAAUAACUUGUUGCUGAUCGCACGGUCUCGAACCGGCGACGCAUCUUUCAAAUGUCUGCCUUAUCAACUGUCGAUGGUAGGUUCUGCGCCUACCAUGGUUGUAACGGGUAACGGGGAAUCAGGGUUCGAUUCCGGAGAGGGAGCCUGAGAAACGGCUACCACAUCCAAGGAAGGCAGCAGGCGCGCAAAUUACCCACUCCCGGCACGGGGAGGUAGUGACGAAAAAUAACGAUACGGGACUCAUCCGAGGCCCCGUAAUCGGAAUGAGUACACUCUAAACCCUUUAACGAGGAUCAAUUGGAGGGCCAGUCUGGUGCCAGCAGCCGCGGUAAUUCCAGCUCCAAUAGCGUAU